This 204-nucleotide unclassified non-coding RNA is filed under the name Hevea brasiliensis (rubber tree). Lineage: Eukaryota; Viridiplantae; Streptophyta; Magnoliopsida; Malpighiales; Euphorbiaceae. The record is from RNAcentral.
AACGCGCUGGCUUGAUCCUUUGGCUUGAUACUACAAAAUAAAGUCUUCAAACAUCUGUUAUACAUCUAAUGAUUUGGUGUGAAUAUCGAAUAUGAGUAAUUUUAGUGUAGAGUAGUUGACUAUUACCAUUACAAUAGGUUGACAACCAAUUUCAACAAGACAAGGCUAAAGCAAACAUCUAUCUACCAAAAUUUGUUUAGCUUA